This 301-nucleotide ribosomal RNA is filed under the name uncultured bacterium. RNAcentral's name for it is "partial 16S ribosomal RNA". It matches the Rfam family "Bacterial small subunit ribosomal RNA", at positions 509 to 807 of the family's 1533-position model. The record is from RNAcentral.
CAGCAGCCGCGGGAAUACAGAGGGUGCAAGCGUUAAUCGGAAUUACUGGGCGUAAAGCGCGCGUAGGUGGUUUGUUAAGUUGGAUGUGAAAUCCCCGGGCUCAACCUGGGAACUGCAUCCAAAACUGGCAAGCUAGAGUAUGGUAGAGGGUGGUGGAAUUUCCUGUGUAGCGGUGAAAUGCGUAGAUAUAGGAAGGAACACCAGUGGCGAAGGCGACCACCUGGACUGAUACUGACACUGAGGUGCGAAAGCGUGGGGAGCAAACAGGAUUAGAUACCCGUGUAGUCCCUGUCUCUUAUAC